UUGCGUUUUUCCCUCUCUUCCAAUUCCCUUCCUCUUCCAACUUCAAACGUCAUCAAUCUUAACAAUCCACUGAUAUCAUGCCCUUAUAUACUGCAAAUUUGGCCUCUAAACUUCCACAUCGGUUCGGUUUUACUAGAACGAACGCCAGUUCCUUACCCAACUAUGCUGGGCUUAAACCUUUCUUCCUCUUCUUCCCUUCCACCCACGUCCAUAAUUCUUCCCAAAAUCGAAUCUGUUCGUCUGUUCCAUCAUCUUCCUCAAUAAUGGAA
RNAcentral lists this unclassified non-coding RNA (269 nucleotides) under Hevea brasiliensis (rubber tree). Lineage: Eukaryota; Viridiplantae; Streptophyta; Magnoliopsida; Malpighiales; Euphorbiaceae. The record is from RNAcentral.